GACGAACGCUGGCGGCGUGCCUAACACAUGCAAGUCGAGCGAGUUGAUUCUCUUCGGAGAUGAAGCUAGCGGCGGACGGGUGAGUAACACGUGGGCAACCUGCCUCAUAGAGGGGAAUAGCCUCCCGAAAGGGAGAUUAAUACCGCAUAAGAUUGUAGCUUCGCAUGAAGUAGCAAUUAAAGGAGUAAUCCGCUAUGAGAUGGGCCCGCGGCGCAUUAGCUAGUUGGUGAGGUAACGGCUCACCAAGGCGACGAUGCGUAGCCGACCUGAGAGGGUGAUCGGGCCACAUUGGGACUGAGACACGGCCCAGACUCCUACGGGAGGCAGCAGUGGGGAAUAUUGCACAAUGGGGGGAACCCUGAUGCAGCAACGCCGCGUGAGUGAUGACGGCCUUCGGGUUGUAAA
This 405-nucleotide ribosomal RNA is filed under the name uncultured bacterium. Its description in RNAcentral is "bacterial SSU rRNA". It matches the Rfam family "Bacterial small subunit ribosomal RNA", at positions 28 to 429 of the family's 1533-position model. The record is from RNAcentral.